UACGUAGGGUGCAAGCGUUAAUCGGAAUUACUGGGCGUAAAGCGUGCGCAGGCGGUGAUGUAAGACAGAUGUGAAAUCCCCGGGCUUAACCUGGGAACUGCAUUUGUGACUGCAUCGCUGGAGUGCGGCAGAGGGGGAUGGAAUUCCGCGUGUAGCAGUGAAAUGCGUAGAUAUGCGGAGGAACACCGAUGGCGAAGGCAAUCCCCUGGGCCUGCACUGACGCUCAGACGCGAAAGCCAGGGGAGCGAACGGG
Molecule: ribosomal RNA, 253 nt
Filed under: uncultured bacterium
Lineage: Bacteria
Description: partial 16S ribosomal RNA
Rfam family: Bacterial small subunit ribosomal RNA
Source: RNAcentral